RNAcentral lists this long non-coding RNA (776 nucleotides) under Olea europaea subsp. europaea. The record is from RNAcentral. Lineage: Eukaryota; Viridiplantae; Streptophyta; Magnoliopsida; Lamiales; Oleaceae.
GGAACGGGCCAAGUUUGGCCAAAACCAAGUUGGCGAGCAAAAAAUUGGGGAGCAUAUAUUUCUACCCUAGCUUUGGCAUUGGUCCCAGUCAAAAUAUCAUGGAACAACUCCCUCCCGAUCAAAAACUGAAUCCAAAUGAUCAAGGAAGUGUUCGCACUAUCCAGAGUGGAUGGAGGUUGCACAUAAUUUGGAUACAAAAAAGGAGAAAAAGGAAAGAAGGAAGGAUUGAAUCCAAAGUAUAAAAGAAUGAAAAAAUGUCCCUUCUGGACAUAUUUACAGGAGUCAGGGGAUCAAUGGCUAGCCCAUAGCAGCUAGCAGAAGGACUAGAAAAAGAUGGAGCACCAAGCGAUGGAAAAUAGACUCUCAACCAUAUUUGAGUGAACCAAAGAGGCCCUCUACCAGUGGGAGAUGCACCAUUCUUCAAUUGGGAUUGAAGAGAAGCCAUGCCUCUAUAAAGGGUAGCUAAAAAGAAAGAAAACAAAUUCAGAGGCCUACCACGCGCCAAUUCGUGCACUAUGGGUAAAUAGCUCAUGGAGGGCUUUAUGCUUGGUACACACAAAAUGUAUUUACAAAGCCAACUCAGAAGAAAGGCCACUCGCUCAGUAUGGGAAGGUUCAGCGCUUGAAUUGUUAUGAAAGGUUUGCAGGCUUGAGUAAGAUUCGGUGAGGCCUCUAUCAAAUUUUGGGGCGACACUAGAAAUCAAAAUACUAGGAAAAAUGGUAUCACCCAAAGGUGACAGAUUUACUAGAGCCCCAACAUCCCUUAAGGUAAUGGAC